GCCUGGCUGGCUCAAUCAGUAGAGCAUGUGACUCUCAAUCUCCGGGUGAGUUCAAGCCUCACCUUGGGCA
RNAcentral lists this transfer RNA (70 nucleotides) under Canis lupus familiaris (dog). It matches the Rfam family "tRNA". From Rfam's summary of the family: Transfer RNA (tRNA) molecules are approximately 80 nucleotides in length. Their secondary structure includes four short double-helical elements and three loops (D, anti-codon, and T loops). RNAcentral also lists the same sequence under 1 other name. The record is from Rfam by way of RNAcentral. Lineage: Eukaryota; Metazoa; Chordata; Mammalia; Carnivora; Canidae.